This 121-nucleotide small nucleolar RNA is filed under the name Octodon degus (degu). The record is from RNAcentral. Lineage: Eukaryota; Metazoa; Chordata; Mammalia; Rodentia; Octodontidae.
UUUGAAGACCAAUGUGUACUAUGUUUGUUCAUCAUUGGAAACACCUCAUAGAGUAACACUGGUUUUGCUUUGCUCACAGGUCUUUUUCUUGGGCCUGUUGAUAAAGCUUUACAGGACAGCA